UUGUGCAGGAAAACCCCCCUGCUAGUGUUCUCUCCGGUCUCUUUGGUUUGAACUCUGUGCUAGGGCAGUAUCUAUUCUUUACCUCUGCGCUGAAGGACCUUUCCUUGUAUGUAUAUUCAGAAAUACUGUGUACUG
Molecule: small nucleolar RNA, 135 nt
Filed under: Sorex araneus (European shrew)
Lineage: Eukaryota; Metazoa; Chordata; Mammalia; Eulipotyphla; Soricidae
Description: Small nucleolar RNA SNORA22 (ENSSARG00000019498.1)
Source: RNAcentral